GCUGAAGUGGCUCAGCGGUUAAGAGCACUGGCUGCUCUUCCAGAGGUCCUGAGUUCAAAUCCCAGCAACCACA
Molecule: transfer RNA, 73 nt
Filed under: Rattus norvegicus (Norway rat)
Lineage: Eukaryota; Metazoa; Chordata; Mammalia; Rodentia; Muridae
Rfam family: tRNA
About the family: Transfer RNA (tRNA) molecules are approximately 80 nucleotides in length. Their secondary structure includes four short double-helical elements and three loops (D, anti-codon, and T loops).
Source: Rfam by way of RNAcentral